GCGGCGAUGGCUCAAUGGGCAGUGUCAGGCUAGUAAUCCGGAGGUUGUGAGUUCAAGCCUGACUCGCAGCU
RNAcentral lists this transfer RNA (71 nucleotides) under Trichomalopsis sarcophagae. It matches the Rfam family "tRNA". From Rfam's summary of the family: Transfer RNA (tRNA) molecules are approximately 80 nucleotides in length. Lineage: Eukaryota; Metazoa; Arthropoda; Insecta; Hymenoptera; Pteromalidae. The record is from Rfam by way of RNAcentral.